UACGAUGGUAUAGGAUUCUUGACAUCUCAGAAAUUGGCAAAUGCUACAAAUCAGGGCUUCCUGCCUCUCCUCUAAAGCUCAUUUACCAGGACA
Molecule: long non-coding RNA, 93 nt
Organism: Sapajus apella (tufted capuchin)
Lineage: Eukaryota; Metazoa; Chordata; Mammalia; Primates; Cebidae
Exons: 3
Source: RefSeq, a predicted model, not a curated record